RNAcentral lists this long non-coding RNA (559 nucleotides) under Panax ginseng (ginseng). Its description in RNAcentral is "long non-coding RNA (PGIN_LNC003062)". Lineage: Eukaryota; Viridiplantae; Streptophyta; Magnoliopsida; Apiales; Araliaceae. The record is from RNAcentral.
CAGAUUCCUACUAACCGUUGAUUAUCUCUCAGACCAAUUCUCAUCCGUUGGAUCAACAAGGUAACCCUAAUUAUAAAUAUCAUUUUUUAUUUCACUUAUAUUAUUCUUCUUUUCUCUCUGUCUCUCUCGCCGUACGCUUUCUUUCUCUCAAAAAAUCGAUCAAACCCUAAUUGUUCGUCUAAAAAAUUCUUGAUUCUAAACGGUUCUUUUAAUGAAUCAACUCCGAUCAAGUGAAUCUACAUCCUUUAAAUCACAAUAUUACCAUUUUUUUGAUUUUUGAUCUGUUUUGUUCUCUUAAUUUCUUGAUUUAUCUAUUACUGAUUUGCAAAACCUCUGAUAAAUCGUUGAGUUAAAAUCUGUGUUCAGAUAGAUCUGCUGGUUGUAUCGAUUUAUCCUCACUAGUUCCUCAUAUUUCCUUUAAAUCUGUCGAUUUUCAUGAUUAUCUGAUCAAAUUCUUUUCCUAUUUUUCUUCUAGAUCUACAUUUUUUUUCAAUCUCUAAUUUGUUUUAAAAAAAUAUAUGUAUGCUUCAGUUUUAGUAACAGUAACAGUAAUAAAAAU